RNAcentral lists this unclassified non-coding RNA (314 nucleotides) under plant metagenome. Its description in RNAcentral is "partial contains small subunit ribosomal RNA and internal transcribed spacer 1". The stretch from base 1 to 46 matches the Rfam family "Eukaryotic small subunit ribosomal RNA", at positions 1786 to 1831 of the family's 1831-position model. The record is from RNAcentral.
AAGUCGUAACAAGGUUUCCGUAGGUGAACCUGCGGAAGGAUCAUUAAAAGUGAUUGUAGUUAUUUCAUCGAUUUACUCAAUGUCUAGUCCAAACUUUAGCCCAAUUUUCCAAGCCCAAUUGUCCGAAGCCUUUGCCAUCCGUUUUGGCCCUUUGCCUUGAUCGGGUUCCCCAUUGGGGGCCUAGCCAUCCAUGGAUGGUCCAACCUUCCUUUUGGUUGGAUGUGAAAACCCCAAGAGAGUCUCCCAUGGGAGGUAAUCAUUAAAUUCAUGUAUCCAAUGUCUUCUGUCUGAACUGUUUAUAACAAAUGUUAAAA